AUUGAACGCUGGCGGCAGGCCUAACACAUGCAAGUCGAGCGAGCGGCGGACGCGUGAGUAAUGUCUGGGAAACUGCGUGAUGGAGGGGGAUAACUACAGGAAACGGUAGCUAAUAUCGCGCACCACAAGAUGUGCCCAGAUGGGAGUAGCUAGUAGGUGGGGUAAAGGCGCACCUAGGCGACGCGCCCUAGCUGGUCUGUGAGGAUGACCAGCCACACUGGAACUGAGACACGGUCCAGACUCCUACGGGAGGCAGCAGUGGGGAAUAUUGCACAAGGGGCGCAAGCCUGAUGCAGCCAUGCCGCGUGUGUGAAGAAGGCCUUCGGGUUGUAAAGCACUUUCAGCGGGGAGGCGUUACCCGCAGAAGAAGCACCGGCUAACUCCGUGCCAGCAGCCGCGGUAAUAC
This 406-nucleotide ribosomal RNA is filed under the name uncultured bacterium. Its description in RNAcentral is "partial 16S ribosomal RNA". It matches the Rfam family "Bacterial small subunit ribosomal RNA", at positions 29 to 526 of the family's 1533-position model. The record is from RNAcentral.